UGAGAACUGAAUUCCAUAGGUU
This 22-nucleotide microRNA is filed under the name Xenopus tropicalis (tropical clawed frog). RNAcentral describes it as "xtr-miR-146a". Its record names the gene xtr-miR-146a. The record is from miRBase by way of RNAcentral. RNAcentral also lists the same sequence under 3 other names. Lineage: Eukaryota; Metazoa; Chordata; Amphibia; Anura; Pipidae.